GGAGGUUGCAAUGAGGAUUCAGAGCUCCCUCUUCUGAUAUUGUUGAAGAAAUUAGCUGGCAGAAUCGAACCUAUAACUUUUUCGCCACCACUGAGCAA
This is a non-coding RNA of Gossypium hirsutum (cotton), 98 nucleotides long. The record is from Rfam. Lineage: Eukaryota; Viridiplantae; Streptophyta; Magnoliopsida; Malvales; Malvaceae.